GCGAUGGUCUUACCAUCCUCCCUUGGCCAGACCGGAUCCGAGCGCUGGGGCCCUUCUGGCCCAAUGGCCUGAGAAGGACAGUCCCAGAAGGCUGGCCAGCCUGGGGAAGGGCCGGGAACUCCCAGCAAGCAGUAGCAUCUGUUGACGUUGCCUGGAGAAGAAAUGGGCUCCCCGGGAAACCUAAUUGUCUUUGAUCUGUUUGACCCCAGAGCACAGAACCUGAAGAUAAAAAAGGGAAAGUGGGCAGGAGAGCUGGAGGCCUUGGGAAAGGGAGAGAAAGCGCCCCUUCCCACCUCCAAGCAGAGUUGCCUGGAUUGAAGUGAAAGCUCAUUCGUAGCCUGAAGGUUGAAACUGCCUGGGGAGGAUUUCUUUCAGAGCAUAUUAUUGAAGAGACAAAAUCCGUCAGAGAGAACUCUGAGGACAGUCACAGAAAGCCCCCACCCUGGACCUUCCAGAAGUGUCACCCUGCACACCACUUACUGUGGACUCAAGAAAGGGGUUUCACCAAGUGGGAGUCUUCAGUCAAAUGUAUUUUCUAUAAUCAGAGCCCAUUUUCCCACAGGCCUGUAUAUACUUGCGGUAGAGUGUGCCCCAGACAAUUUUUAGGGAUGUUAUAACCUAAAAACUGGGGGGGGGG
This is a long non-coding RNA of Sarcophilus harrisii (Tasmanian devil), 637 nucleotides long. RefSeq lists it as uncharacterized. NCBI's taxonomy places the organism in Eukaryota, Metazoa, Chordata, Mammalia, Dasyuromorphia, Dasyuridae. The transcript has 2 exons. The record is from RefSeq and is a predicted model, not a curated record.